UUUUUUAUGGUGUAAAGAGCACGAAAGAUUUUCAAUUUUUAGGAGUAAAUAGGAUAUUUAAAUUUACUGAAU
This 72-nucleotide transfer RNA is filed under the name Amphioctopus aegina. RNAcentral describes it as "tRNA-Glu". Lineage: Eukaryota; Metazoa; Mollusca; Cephalopoda; Octopoda; Octopodidae. The record is from RNAcentral.